RNAcentral lists this ribosomal RNA (625 nucleotides) under uncultured bacterium. Its description in RNAcentral is "bacterial SSU rRNA". It matches the Rfam family "Bacterial small subunit ribosomal RNA", at positions 8 to 625 of the family's 1533-position model. The record is from RNAcentral.
AGAGUUUGAUCCUGGCUCAGAUUGAACGCUGGCGGUAUGCUUAACACAUGCAAGUCGAACGGUAACAGCGGAGCUUGCUCCGGCUGACGAGUGGCGGACGGGUGAGUAACGCGUAGGAAUCUGCCUGAUAGUGGGGGACAACCUGGUGAAAACCAGGCUAAUACCGCAUACGCCCUACGGGGGAAAGCGGGGGAUCUUCGGACCUCGCGCUAUCAGAUGAGCCUGCGUCGGAUUAGCUAGUUGGUAAGGUAAUGGCUUACCAAGGCGACGAUCCGUAGCUGGUUUGAGAGAACGACCAGCCACAUUGGGACUGAGACACGGCCCAGACUCCUACGGGAGGCAGCAGUGGGGAAUAUUGGACAAUGGGGGCAACCCUGAUCCAGCAAUACCGCGUGUGUGAAGAAGGCCCGAGGGUUGUAAAGCACUUUCAGUAGGGAAGAAAUGCCUGGGGUUAAUAGCCUUGGGUCUUGACGUAACCUACAGAAGAAGCACCGGCUAACUCCGUGCCAGCAGCCCGCGGUAAUACGGAGGGUGCAAGCGUUAAUCGGAAUUACUGGGCGUAAAGCGUACGCAGGCUGUCAAGUCAGUCAGAUGUGAAAGCCCCGGGCUUAACCUGGGAACUGCA